UACAGAGGUCUCGAGCGUUGCUCGGAAUCACUGGGCGUAAAGGGUGCGUAGGCGGGUCUUUAAGUCGGGGGUGAAAUCCUGGAGCUCAACUCCAGAACUGCCUUCGAUACUGAAGAGCUCGAGUCCGGGAGAGGUGAGUGGAACUGCGAGUGUAGAGGUGAAAUUCGUAGAUAUUCGCAAGAACACCAGUGGCGAAGGCGGCUCACUGGCCCGGUACUGACGCUGAGGUGCGAAAGCGUGGGGAGCAAACAGG
RNAcentral lists this ribosomal RNA (253 nucleotides) under uncultured bacterium. RNAcentral describes it as "partial 16S ribosomal RNA". It matches the Rfam family "Bacterial small subunit ribosomal RNA", at positions 524 to 776 of the family's 1533-position model. The record is from RNAcentral.